This 296-nucleotide unclassified non-coding RNA is filed under the name fungal sp. RNAcentral's name for it is "partial internal transcribed spacer region". The stretch from base 1 to 46 matches the Rfam family "Eukaryotic small subunit ribosomal RNA", at positions 1786 to 1831 of the family's 1831-position model. The record is from RNAcentral. Lineage: Eukaryota; Fungi.
AAGUCGUAACAAGGUUUCCGUAGGUGAACCUGCGGAAGGAUCAUUAACACAAUUUUACUGUGAUAAAAUCCGUUGAAUUCUCACGAAUUCAAUGGUAUCCACCCCAUUAUUGACGAACUUUUCUAGAUGUUUUCAAAAACAUAGAGCUUAGUCUUAUAGGUUUUUAAAACAUUCUAAACCUUUUUCUGUACCCACAAACAUUUAAACCCCUUUUACAACAUGUUUUAGACUGAAAUGAAAAAUUUCUAUCAAAAAAUUGAUAAAAACAACUUUUAACAACGGAUAUCUUGGCUCUC